CCCGAGGCCUGAGGAUCGAUUUCAACAUCCGAUAUCAAUGGUCGUACCCUAUUGCCAGUGUUCUCGAGAGUGACCGAUUUGCCAUCACUUGCAGCAUCCUUGAUGGAGAUGUUUCCCUUUGCGCUCCGUUGGUUGGGUGCCAAACGACGGAGGAACCUACCGGAAGAUUGUUGUCUCCUCAAUUGCCAAUAUCUGGUUUUGACUCAUAUUUGAAGUCCCCGGACCCCCGCCAAAAAGUGCCAGUUGCAACGGUUUUGCCCACUCGAGCGCUUCAGGACCGCUAUAAUUCAGGAAAGGGGGGGAGGCUGGCCUGGUUUAAGCACUUCAAGCAAAAGACGUAAUAAACGGGACACAGUGUUGUGAAAGAUGCCUACUGUUUGCUGAAGCUUGGGGUUAAACAAAUAUUAAGAAAUGGCUUAGAGAACAACUGACACUUUCAAGUCCCCAUUUCUGCCUGAGCAUUUAAAGGCUUACCACUAUGUUCAGCGGAGCUCAUGAAUCCCUCGAGCCACUUGAGGUGCGCUUCGCUACCAUGCUGUCUGGUCCAGUCAUACCACUUCUCAACAACAUUGCCAAGGCUGAAAUUAACGGAGAGAUCGCUAAUUCAUUGUACAAUAGCUAGGAACCAGACUUACAGCAUGAUCGCUUUUGUUACAACGGGAAGAUUGAUCAGAUGAUUUGCAACAACAAACGCUGCGGAGAACCCUCCGAGUUUGCCCCGGGAACUUUAACUCCGGACACCUCUAGCUGUGUUUCAAACUUCAAAUCGAAUUGGAUUUAUCAAUUGGAUUAACGAUGCAUCAGUAGCUAAAUAGCUGAUUUGACCAUAAUAGCAAUGCGAUGUAUUCAAAUCAGAACAGUCUAUU
Long non-coding RNA from Lineus longissimus, 866 nucleotides. RefSeq lists it as uncharacterized. NCBI's taxonomy places the organism in Eukaryota, Metazoa, Nemertea, Pilidiophora, Heteronemertea, Lineidae. The transcript is spliced from 3 exons. The record is from RefSeq and is a predicted model, not a curated record.